RNAcentral lists this ribosomal RNA (772 nucleotides) under uncultured Neocallimastigales. Its description in RNAcentral is "partial large subunit ribosomal RNA". It matches the Rfam family "Eukaryotic large subunit ribosomal RNA", at positions 22 to 646 of the family's 3401-position model. Lineage: Eukaryota; Fungi; Neocallimastigomycota; Neocallimastigomycetes; Neocallimastigales. The record is from RNAcentral.
GUACACGCUGUGACUAGCAUAUCAAUAAGCGGAGGAAAAGAAACUAACAAGGAUUCCCUCAGUAACGGCGGAGUGAAGCGGGAAGAGCUCAAAUUUGAAAUCUUGAAAGGUCACCUUUCACGAAUUGUAGUUUAAAGAAGUGUUUUCUGUUACGAUCGUAAUAUAAGUUCUUUGGAAUAGGACAUCACAGAGGGUGAGAAUCCCGUCUAUGAUUGCGAUUUGUAGCUUUGUGAUACACUUUCAAAGAGUCGGGUUGUUUGGGAAUGCAGCCCAAAGCGGGAGGUAAAUUUCUUCUAAGGCUAAAUAUUGGCGAGAGACCGAUAGCGAACAAGUACCGUGAGGGAAAGAUGAAAAGAACUUUGAAAAGAGAGUUAAAUAGUACGUGAAAUUGUCAAAAGGGAAGCGUUUAACACCAGUGUUGUUUUCUGAAAAUCAACCUCUGUUAGCUUUAUGCAUGUUUGUUUAGACCUAAUCAGCUAUCUUGCAUGUUCUAUUGUUUGCAGUGGUGCACUUUUCAGUUUACAGGUCAACAUCAGUUUUUUUUACCGUAAAAAAGUUAAAGAAAGGUAGCUCAUGGCUCCGGUCGUGAGUGUUAUAGUCUUUUUCCUAUGCGGUAGGAGAGACUGAGGUCUGCAGUGUAGGCUAUUUGGCUAGAUACUCAGGUGCUAUGUGAUACCAUUUCAUAAACAACUUGUUGAUUAUGUUUUGUCUAUUGCAUACUCGCUUGUACUAUCAUACCUACGCUUAGGAUGUUGAGUAGCGACAUACGCAC